AGAGUUUGAUUCUGGCUCAGAAUCAACGCUGGCGGCGCGCCUAACACAUGCAAGUCGAACGAGAAAGUGGAGCAAUCCAUGAGUACAGUGGCGUACGGGUGAGUAACACGUGGGUGAUCUACCUCUUAGUGAGGAAUAACCCUGGGAAACCGGGGCUAAUACCGCAUAAGCCUGAGAAGGGAAAGCAGCAAUGCGCUGAGAGAGGAGCCCGCGGCCGAUUAGCUAGUUGGUGAGGUAAAAGCCCACCAAGGCAGAGAUCGGUAGCCGGCCUGAGAGGGCACACGGCCACACUGGCACUGAAACACGGGCCAGACUCCUACGGGAGGCAGCAGUGGGGAAUCUUGCACAAUGGGGGAAACCCUGAUGCAGCGACGCCGCGUGAGCGAUGAAGCCCUUCGGGGUGUAAAGCUCUUUCGUCAGGGAAGAUUAUGACGGUACCUGGAGAAGCAGCUGCGGCUAACUACGUGCCAGCAGCCGCGGUAAUACGUAGGCAGCAAGCGUUGUUCGGAGUUACUGGGCGUAAAGGGUGUGUAGGCGGUUCUUUAAGUUUGGUGUGAAAUCUCCCGGCUCAACCGGGAGGGUGCGCCGAAUACUGAGGGACUAGAGUGUGGGAGAGGAAAGUGGAAUUCCUGGUGUAGCGGUGAAAUGCGUAGAUAUCAGGAGGAACACCGGUGGUGUAGACGGCUUUCUGGACCAUAACUGACGCUGAGACACGAAAGCGUGGGUAGCAAACAGGAUUAGAUACCCUGGUAGUCCACGCCCUNNNCGAUGCAUAUUUGGUG
Molecule: ribosomal RNA, 782 nt
Filed under: uncultured bacterium
Lineage: Bacteria
Description: bacterial SSU rRNA
Rfam family: Bacterial small subunit ribosomal RNA
Source: RNAcentral